AGAGAGAGAGAGAGAAGAGAGAGAGAGAGAGAGAGAGAGAGAGAGAGAGAGAGAGAGAGAGAGAGAGAGGAGAGAGAGAGAGAGAGAGAGAGAUCUGGUUAGUAUUGUACAGAGUGAAGACUUUUAGGAGUUUCCUAAAGAGAGAAGAAAUCUGCUGCCAUCUCACUGUGGUCUGAAUUUUGAAACUUCCCUGAGACACACGAGAUCUCCCGCGUUACACACCUCCCUAUAGAAGUGAUAAUAAAAGGCACAGGUCAUGUAGAAAAGCUGAAACACACUUCCUGUUAAUCGCUAAUUAGUUCAGGAGCUCGACACAUUGCACUGACUGAUCAUCUCCAACCAUUCACUUAUUUACAACAAACUCAGAGUUAUACAGUUUCUACAACAAGAUUCCAAUCAUCCUGAAACCCGGUAUAAACACUAAACAGGUAUAAACACUAACCAGGUAUAAACCCUAACCAGGAAUAUAAACCCUAACCAGGAAUAUAAACACUAACCAGGAAUAAACUCUAACCAGGAAUAAACUCUAACCAGGUAUAAACUCUAAACAGGUAUAUAAACUCUAAACAGGAAUAAACACUAACCAGGAAUAAACUCUAACCAGGUAUAAACUCUAACCAGGUAUAAACACUAACCAGGUAUAAACUCUAACCAGGAAUAUAAACCCUAACCAGGAAUAUAAACUCUAAACAGGAAUAAACACUAACCAGGAAUAAACUCUAACCAGGUAUGAACUCUAACCAGGUAUGAACUCUAACCAGGUAUGAACUCUAACCAGGUAUAAACCCUAACCAGGUAUAAACACUAACCAGGAAUAAACUCUAACCAGGUAUGAACUCUAACCAGGAAUAUAAACACUAACCAGGAAUAUAAACACUAACCAGGUAAUAACCAGGUAAAUAAACCUAACCAGGAAUAUAAACCCUAACCAGGAAUAUAAACUCUAACCAGGAAUAUAAACCCUAACCAGGUAUAAACUCUAACCAGGAAUAUAAACUCUAACCAGGAAUAUAAACACUAACCAGGAAUAUAAACACUAACCAGAAAUAUAAACACUAACCAGGAAUAAACUCUAACCAGGUAUGAACUCUAACCAGGAAUAUAAACCCUAACCAGGUAUAAACACUAACCAG
Molecule: long non-coding RNA, 1133 nt
Organism: Silurus meridionalis
Lineage: Eukaryota; Metazoa; Chordata; Actinopteri; Siluriformes; Siluridae
Exons: 2
Source: RefSeq, a predicted model, not a curated record